RNAcentral lists this ribosomal RNA (235 nucleotides) under uncultured bacterium. Its description in RNAcentral is "partial 16S ribosomal RNA". It matches the Rfam family "Bacterial small subunit ribosomal RNA", at positions 82 to 334 of the family's 1533-position model. The record is from RNAcentral.
CCCCGCAAGGGGAGUGGCAGACGGGUGCGUAACACGUGGGAACAUACCCUUUGGUUCGGAAUAACUCAGGGAAACUUGAGCUAAUACCGGAUAAGCCCGAGAGGGGAAAGAUUUAUCGCCAAAGGAUUGGCCCGCGUCCGAUUAGCUAGUUGGUGAGGUAACGGCUCACAAAGGCGACGAUCGGUAGCUGGUCUGAGAGGAUGAUCAGCCACACUGGGACUGAGACACGGCCCAG